UACGGAGGGUGCAAGCGUUGUUCGGAAUCAUUGGGCGUAAAGCGCGUGUAGGCGGUCAUCUAAGUCUGGUGUGAAAGCCCGGGGCUCAACCCCGGAAGUGCAUUGGAUACUGGAUAACUAGAGGGCGAGAGAGGGAAGUGGAAUUCCUGGUGUAGGGGUGAAAUCCGUAGAUAUCAGGAGGAACAUCGGAGGCGAAGGCGGCUUCCUGGCUCGUUUCUGACGCUUAGUCGCGAAAGCGUGGGGAGCAAACAGG
RNAcentral lists this ribosomal RNA (253 nucleotides) under uncultured bacterium. Its description in RNAcentral is "partial 16S ribosomal RNA". It matches the Rfam family "Bacterial small subunit ribosomal RNA", at positions 524 to 776 of the family's 1533-position model. The record is from RNAcentral.